This 73-nucleotide transfer RNA is filed under the name Escherichia coli. RNAcentral describes it as "tRNA-Asn". Lineage: Bacteria; Pseudomonadati; Pseudomonadota; Gammaproteobacteria; Enterobacterales; Enterobacteriaceae. The record is from RNAcentral.
GCUGAUAUGGCUCAGUUGGCAGAGCGUACUCUUGUUAAGGGUGCGGCCACCAGUUAGAUUCACGCUAUCACCC